AUGAAUCACUUACUCAUCUGUUCACAUAGCUAGUGAACCAUCAACCUAGAUAUCAACAUUCACAUAUUCUCAAUCAUCAUCCACAAUCAAUCAUCAAUUAUAAACAACUCAUCAUGCAAUAAAUUGGAACCAUUAUCCAAAUAUGUGUACAGCUAAGCAUAGAAUCCAAAAUAAAUUUAACCUAUUCUACUAAUUCAAAGUACAAAGAAAAAGAAAAAGAAA
Molecule: long non-coding RNA, 222 nt
Filed under: Vigna radiata
Lineage: Eukaryota; Viridiplantae; Streptophyta; Magnoliopsida; Fabales; Fabaceae
Description: long non-coding RNA (VRAD_LNC001745)
Source: RNAcentral